UGAAUAUAUUAAUGUUUCAUGCGAUUUUCAGGUUUCUCUUCCCAAGUUCUUGCUCAAGGAAAUGAGAUAGGUUUUGCUUCGCAAGUCCCAGCCACCGUGGAAGCUGUCAAGACACCUUACUCAAAGAUUGUCUAUGACGACCAUAACCAUGAGCGUUACCCACCUGGUGACCCCAGCAAGCGGGUGUACGCCAGCAUUUUGAUAGGUUCAUCAAGGACCUAAAGCCUGGUGAUCUUGAAAAAUCUCAGCUUGGAUUAGCUCAUAGCUACAGCAGAGCCAAGGUGAAGUUCAAUGUUAACUGAGUGGAUAACAUGGUUAUUCAAGCUAUUUUCCUCCUUGACACCCUUGACAAGGAUAUCAAUUCCUUUGCCAUGAGAGUCAGGGAAUGGUAUUCGUGGCACUUCCCCGAGCUAGUGAAGAUAGCCAGGAUUUAUCACCAGUUGACCUGAGCAACGUACAGACCUUUGCUCAGAGAGUUAUGGAUCUUGCUGACUACAGGAAGAAGCUAACGUACAGACCUAAUUUGGCAGCUUUGAUUGUAUUUUUAUUUUUGAGCAAUGUCGGUUGCGUUUCACUUUUCAGUUUUACAGGCUGUAAGUUCUGCAAUCACAUGAUUACUUCGAAAAAAUAUCAUUCGAAGUGCA
Non-coding RNA from Camelina sativa (false flax), 644 nucleotides. The record is from RefSeq and is a predicted model, not a curated record. NCBI's taxonomy places the organism in Eukaryota, Viridiplantae, Streptophyta, Magnoliopsida, Brassicales, Brassicaceae.